This 497-nucleotide ribosomal RNA is filed under the name uncultured bacterium. Its description in RNAcentral is "partial 16S ribosomal RNA". It matches the Rfam family "Bacterial small subunit ribosomal RNA", at positions 28 to 507 of the family's 1533-position model. The record is from RNAcentral.
GAUGAACGCUGGCGGCGUGCCUAAUACAUGCGAGUCGAGCGAACAGACGAGGAGCUUGCUCCUCUGACGUUAGCGACGGACGGGUGAGUAACACGUGGAUAACCUACCUAUAAGACUGGGAUAACUUCGGGAAACCGGAGCUAAUACCGGAUAAUAUAUUGAACCGCAUGGUUCAAUAGUGAAAGACGGUUUUGCUGUCACUUAUAGAUGGAUCCGCGCCGCAUUAGCUAGUUGGUAAGGUAACGGCUUACCAAGGCAACGAUGCGUAGCCGACCUGAGAGGGUGAUCGGCCACACUGGAACUGAGACACGGUCCAGACUCCUACGGGAGGCAGCAGUAGGGAAUCUUCCGCAAUGGGCGAAAGCCUGACGGAGCAACGCCGCGUGAGUGAUGAAGGUCUUCGGAUCGUAAAACUCUGUUAUUAGGGAAGAACAAAUGUGUAAGUAACUAUGCACGUCUUGACGGUACCUAAUCAGAAAGCCACGGCUAACUACGUG